GACAGAGGGGGCAAGCGUUGCUCGGAAUCACUGGGCGUAAAGGGCGCGUAGGCGGGAAGCCAAGUCGGUCGUGAAAUCUCCGGGCUCAACCCGGAGGAGUCGGCCGAAACUGGUUUUCUUGAGGGAGGCAGAGGAGUCUGGAAUUCCCGGUGUAGCGGUGAAAUGUGUAGAGAUCGGGAGGAACACCGGUGGCGAAGGCGGGACUCUGGGCCUACCCUGACGCUGAGGCGCGAAGGCGUGGGGAGCAAACGGG
Molecule: ribosomal RNA, 253 nt
Filed under: uncultured bacterium
Lineage: Bacteria
Also listed under: 1 other name
Description: partial 16S ribosomal RNA
Rfam family: Bacterial small subunit ribosomal RNA
Source: RNAcentral